This 376-nucleotide ribosomal RNA is filed under the name Paenibacillus anaericanus. Its description in RNAcentral is "bacterial SSU rRNA". It matches the Rfam family "Bacterial small subunit ribosomal RNA", at positions 280 to 649 of the family's 1533-position model. Lineage: Bacteria; Bacillati; Bacillota; Bacilli; Caryophanales; Paenibacillaceae. The record is from RNAcentral.
UGCGUAGCCGACCUGAGAGGGUGAACGGCCACACUGGGACUGAGACACGGCCCAGACUCCUACGGGAGGCAGCAGUAGGGAAUCUUCCGCAAUGGGCGAAAGCCUGACGGAGCAACGCCGCGUGAGUGAUGAAGGUUUUCGGAUCGUAAAGCUCUGUUGCCAGGGAAGAACGUCCGGUAGAGUAACUGCUACCGGAGUGACGGUACCUGAGAAGAAAGCCCCGGCUAACUACGUGCCAGCAGCCGCGGUAAUACGUAGGGGGCAAGCGUUGUCCGGAAUUAUUGGGCGUAAAGCGCGCGCAGGCGGCCAUUUAAGUCUGGUGUUUAAUCCCGGGGCUCAACCCCGGGUCGCACUGGAAACUGGGUGGCUUGAGUGC